UACGUAGGGCGCAAGCGUUAUCCGGAAUUAUUGGGCGUAAAGAGCUCGUAGGCGGUUUGUCGCGUCUGCUGUGAAAACCUAAGGCUCAACCUUGGGCUUGCAGUGGGUACGGGCAGACUAGAGCGCGGUAGGGGUGACUGGAAUUCCUGGUGUAGCGGUGGAAUGCGCAGAUAUCAGGAGGAACACCGAUGGCGAAGGCAGGUCACUGGGCCGCAACUGACGCUGAGGAGCGAAAGCAUGGGGAGCGAACAGG
RNAcentral lists this ribosomal RNA (253 nucleotides) under uncultured bacterium. RNAcentral describes it as "partial 16S ribosomal RNA". It matches the Rfam family "Bacterial small subunit ribosomal RNA", at positions 524 to 776 of the family's 1533-position model. The record is from RNAcentral.